UUCUUCAUUUCAUUUUCAUCAUGUACAGGUUCUUAACCCGUCUAAAGAAUUGAAAUUAUAAUGAAACUGGAUAACUUAGUUCAUAUUCCAUUUUAGUUUUUCUACUUUUGCAAAGCUAUAUCAUCAUAUUCUGGAAUCGAUCUAUUUAACUUUGAAUUGUUAUGUUCCCUUGAAAACUUUAUUACAAUUGGUAAAUAUGGUUUAACAUGCAGAUAUUUCAUUGUGAUAUCUAGCUUUAUGGUAUAUUUAUCAGUAUGAUUUUAAAAAAUGAGAAUAUAUUUGUUUGAAAAUGAAAAUGGCCAAAUGCUAAUAUUUUCAUAAUACUGACAGUAGAAAUCAUGCCUCAAAUUCGAGUAAUACAUUUGACCUAUUCAAGGUGUGAAAAUGUGGACUUUUGUCUCUAGGAUAGUACUACAAUUUGUAAAGGUUAUUCAGUGUAGCAUAAAAAAAUAGCUUUGUAAUGAAUUCACUACUUUGAAAUAUGUUUUUUUUCUAUUCAUACUUUUGUGUUCAAUAUUGAUGUUUAUUUGGCUACUGCCAAGAAAAUAUUUUCCUGUAGGAUUCUUGAAAUAUUUCAUUAUCAUUUAUUAGUAUAAAGAAUGAUAUAUUGAGUUUGUGACAUUUCAAUAGCUCUAAAGCCAUCCUAACAAUCUUUGAAAACUACUUUUUUUUUAAAAGAGAUAUCUAGAAGAAAAUUAAAGCAAAAAUUGGGACUCCAAAGAAUUGCUACUGCAAUAGAGAGUGAUUGGUAGAAAGUUGACAAUGAAUAGUAUGGAACUAAUGAAAUCUGAAGAAAUAUUUGUUAUCUAUUUAUUUUUGUCAAUGCUUUUAAACUCAACUUCUUGUGAAAUAGGCCUUGAAGAAAAAAAAAGGAUUUUGACAAAUUUAUAAUAUACAUGAAUCUUUGUUCUAUUAGAACUGACUAUGUCAACUUUCAAACGCUUUGUAAUUUUCUUAAACAAGGCAUUAGCAUAUUGUGUCUCGCCCACUUGUGAAAAUAACUAGAAAAUAUUGCAAUCUCCUUCGUCACGCAACAGAAUUGUAUCGUAUCCUGGUAUAGAAUGUAAUAACAAAUAAAAUUUGGGCCAUUCUUGGUCAGGUGUGUGACUGAAAUUAUGGACAAAUCAUGACUUCAAUUAGUUGUAAAUCUAAAAAAAUUAGGGAUUUAGUAAAUUAAAGGGUGUAUGACAUUAACAUCUGUAGUCAGCUAUCAUUUGGAAAUAUUUUUUACUGUCUCCAAUAUGCAGAUUUCUAAUUAACUAAAAGUCAAGAUUUGUCAUUAUUUCGGUCACACACGUGACCAAGAAUGGCCAAUUUGAAAUGGGCUAUUUCAUGAAAUGCCUUUCCCUUUCACCUUCCCCUGGGAUAUGAAUAACAUGUGUGAAGGUUUAUGUGAUUUCACGGUGACACCACAAGUGCUCCUGUGACAUAUGCUCCGGUCUUAUCUAGGACGGUAUAGGGUUAGAGCUAAGAUUGUAAUAGAGUUUUUGGUUCAGAAUAAUGUAAAGAUUAAGAUAAGGGUUUAUUUACUUUUGGAGGCGAGGUCUCCUGUUUUGCUUAACGUGCAGAUCUUACAUCAGAGCAAUUGUCGCCGAAGCGAAUGUCAUGUAACCGAUUUCACUUUUACAAUUUCACUUUUAGUGAAUCUCAGAAACCAUAUUUCAAAUUUCAUAUUGUAAGUAUUCACUCUAUAUGUCACACGAUUGAUUCCAGUAGUAGUAUACAGUAUGUCACAUUUUAUUUCAACACUAAAGUAAAUACAGUAAAUAUAUGAUUUGUAUAUAUUUGAUCUUCAUAUUUACAAGUUCAUAAACUAUGAUUGCAUCAAUACUAUUGUAAUAAAACAGAUUUCUAAGAAAUAUCAUCAACUAGUUUUUCAAUGUUUUUAUAUGGACUCGUGUUUCACAUUGAUAUACAAAAAUGAAUGAAUGAAAGUAAUGAAUUGAUCUGCUGCUGAUGCAAAAACAAAACCUUCUGGUUUUUAAGAGGUAAAUGCUUUGCGAGGAAGAAAAACUUCCCAUGGCACUGCAUCCAAUGAGAAUAUCUCCUCUUUGGCGUGGUGUAGGGGCUUCCUUUGUUCAGUAUGGUAUUUCAUUCAAUUUAAUUCAAUUCUGGUUUUGUUGUGACAAUGAUUAAAUAACAUAAGUCUUGCAUCAUGUUAACAAAGUAAAAAAAACAUACAUGUAUAUCAUUAUGACCUGUUUUAAAUGCAAUACAAUGAAUAGAAAUGACAGUGCUAGACUGUUAUUACACAUGACUGGUAUAUUCAGUUGCACAAUAUGAUACAUCUACUGGGGCCCAAAAGCAUAAAAGUUUCUGUUUAUUGGUAACUUUUUCAUCUGAAAGUAACAUCCAUGGUAACAAAGGCAAUCAAAUGCAAGGAUUCUGUCUUGCAUUGAAUCUUAUGUCACAGUUACUUAUAAUGCAAGAGGACCAUAUGAAUGCAUAAAUGGUUGUUCAGAAAUGGCACAACAAAUUACAUAAUCUUCAUGUAAUUCACUCUCAGAAAAAUGUCACAACUCGAUGUCCCUAACAUCUUUCGACAUGUUACCUCGCAAUCUGGCAUGAUUUCUGUAAGUUUUUUUUUUUAUUUCAGUAGUAACAUGAAUGGUUGGCCAUUGCACCCCAGAUGUUCUUGGUGGCCAGUGAUACUUAAGAAUGAAAUAUAAAACAAGUAACAUUUAAUACAAAUAACAUUACUUAGCAUCCAUUGCAAUUGGUUCUUGGAGUUGCUGGUCACUGAAAGUGGAUCCCUGUUCCUUCUUGAGUGGGUGUGGGCCAAAAGAUGGCCAUAUUGUGAUUUGAAUGAAUUGCAACAUUUUCUUGAGAAGAACAACCCAUAUUGAUAUAUGCAGAUAAAAAGACCAUUGCCAGGUCAAAAGCACUGGACCAAUCAAAUUCUUCAGAUA
This is a long non-coding RNA of Lytechinus variegatus (green sea urchin), 2909 nucleotides long. RefSeq lists it as uncharacterized. NCBI's taxonomy places the organism in Eukaryota, Metazoa, Echinodermata, Echinoidea, Temnopleuroida, Toxopneustidae. The record is from RefSeq and is a predicted model, not a curated record. The transcript is spliced from 2 exons.